AUUGAACGCUGGCGGCAUGCCUUACACAUGCAAGUCGAACGGCAGCGGGGGAGAAGCUUGCUUUUCCUGCCGGCGAGUGGCGAACGGGUGAGUAAUACAUCGGAACGUGCCCUGUAGUGGGGGAUAACUAGCCGAAAGAUUAGCUAAUACCGCACACGACCUGAGGGUGAAAGUGGGGGACCGUAAGGCCUCAUGCUAUAGGAGCGGCCGAUGUCUGAUUAGCUAGUUGGUGGGGUAAAGGCCUACCAAGGCGACGAUCAGUAGCUGGUCUGAGAGGACGAUCAGCCACACUGGGACUGAGACACGGCCCAGACUCCUACGGGAGGCAGCAGUGGGGAAUUUUGGACAAUGGGCGAAAGCCUGAUCCAGCAAUGCCGCGUGUGUGAAGAAGGCCUUCGGGUUGUAAAGCACUUUUGUCCGGAAAGAAAGGGCUCUGGUUAAUACCUGGGGUCGAUGACGGUACCGGAAGAAUAAGGACCGGCUAACCACGUGCCAGCAGCCGCAGUAA
RNAcentral lists this ribosomal RNA (508 nucleotides) under uncultured bacterium. RNAcentral describes it as "partial 16S ribosomal RNA". It matches the Rfam family "Bacterial small subunit ribosomal RNA", at positions 30 to 523 of the family's 1533-position model. The record is from RNAcentral.